Molecule: long non-coding RNA, 589 nt
Organism: Pomacea canaliculata
Lineage: Eukaryota; Metazoa; Mollusca; Gastropoda; Architaenioglossa; Ampullariidae
Exons: 2
Source: RefSeq, a predicted model, not a curated record
CACUUCUGAGGUGAUUUCAAGAUUGCUGCCCUUUUAACGGGACUGCAGCAGGGACCUAGUGUCUACACACUUUCUCGGGAAUGUUAGGACAGAAAACUUGCAAGUAACAGUAUCAGAAACUUGGCUGCAAUAUGUCUCUAAAGAUCAACUUCCUUCAUUCCCAUCUGGAUUUUUUUCAGGACAACUGUGGUAUGGUUAGUGAUAAACAUGGCCAACGCUUUCAUCACGAUAUCCCAACAGUGGAAAAAAGAUACCAUGGAAAAUUGCCCACUGCAAUGCUCGCUGACUACUGCUGGACAAUCCCCCAGAGAUGCUCCCUAACAUCUGUACAAGAGACAGGCAAAGAAAUCUCAGACGUAGUCGAUGACUUCAUUUGUUACAGUUCAUACAAUGGUCUCCCUCACUUGUAAAAAGCAGGCACGUUGGCAAUCGGCGACACACGCCGGAACACGAGGAACAACGACACACAGCCUUGCUGUGUUAAUGACAGGCGAUAGCCGUUGGGCCACCGGACCACUCUCCUAAUAUUAAAAGGAGUCUGUCCCCGUAUCAUUUAGAUACAUAAAAUACAUUGUGCAAAACACAAAAA